RNAcentral lists this ribosomal RNA (497 nucleotides) under uncultured bacterium. RNAcentral's name for it is "partial 16S ribosomal RNA". It matches the Rfam family "Bacterial small subunit ribosomal RNA", at positions 28 to 507 of the family's 1533-position model. The record is from RNAcentral.
GAUGAACGCUGGCGGCGUGCCUAAUACAUGCAAGUCGAGCGAACGGACGAGAAGCUUGCUUCUCUGAGGUUAGCGGCGGACGGGUGAGUAACACGUGGAUAACCUACCUAUAAGACUGGGAUAACUUCGGGAAACCGUAGCUAAUACCGGAGAAUAUUUUGAACCGCAUGGUUCAAAAGUGAAAGACGGUCUUGCUGUCACUUAUAGAUGGAGCCGCGCUGCAUUAGCUAGUUGGUAAGGUAACGGCUUACCAAGGCAACGAUGCAUAGCCGACCUGAGAGCGUCAUCGGCCACCCUGGAACUGAGACACGGUCCCGACUCCUACGGUGGGCCGCAGUCGGGAAUCUUCCGCAAUGGGCGAAAGCCUGACGGAGCAACGCCGCGUGAGUGCUGAAGGUCUUCGGAUCGUAAAACUCUGUUUUUAGGGAAGAACAUAUGUGUAAGUAACUGUUCACAUCUUGACGGUACCUAAUCAGAAAGCCCCGGCUAACUACGUG